UUAAGCGACUAAGCGUACACGGUGGAUGCCCUGGCAGUCAGAGGCGAUGAAGGACGUGCUAAUCUGCGAUAAGCGUCGGUAAGGUGAUAUGAACCGUUAUAACCGGCGAUUUCCGAAUGGGGAAACCCAGUGUGAUUCGUCACACUAUCAUUAACUGAAUCCAUAGGUUAAUGAGGCGAACCGGGGGAACUGAAACAUCUAAGUACCCCGAGGAAAAGAAAUCAACCGAGAUUCCCCCAGUAGCGGCGAGCGAACGGGGAGCAGCCCAGAGCCUGAAUCAGUGUGUGUGUUAGUGGAAGCGUCUGGAAAGGCGUGCGAUACAGGGUGACAGCCCCGUACACAAAAAUGCACAUACUGUGAGCUCGAUGAGUAGGGCGGGACACGUGGUAUCCUGUCUGAAUAUGGGGGGACCAUCCUCCAAGGCUAAAUACUCCUGACUGACCGAUAGUGAACCAGUACCGUGAGGGAAAGGCGAAAAGAACCCCGGCGAGGGGAGUGAAAAAGAACCUGAAACCGUGUACGUACAAGCAGUGGGAGCACGCUUAGGCGUGUGACUGCGUACCUUUUGUAUAAUGGGUCAGCGACUUAUAUUCUGUAGCAAGGUUAACCGAAUAGGGGAGCCGAAGGGAAACCGAGUCUUAACUGGGCGUUAAGUUGCAGGGUAUAGACCCGAAACCCGGUGAUCUAGCCAUGGGCAGGUUGAAGGUUGGGUAACACUAACUGGAGGACCGAACCGACUAAUGUUGAAAAAUUAGCGGAUGACUUGUGGCUGGGGGUGAAAGGCCAAUCAAACCGGGAGAUAGCUGGUUCUCCCCGAAAGCUAUUUAGGUAGCGCCUCGUGAAUUCAUCUCCGGGGGUAGAGCACUGUUUCGGCAAGGGGGUCAUCCCGACUUACCAACCCGAUGCAAACUGCGAAUACCGGAGAAUGUUAUCACGGGAGACACACGGCGGGUGCUAACGUCCGUCGUGAAGAGGGAAACAACCCAGACCGCCAGCUAAGGUCCCAAAGUCAUGGUUAAGUGGGAAACGAUGUGGGAAGGCCCAGACAGCCAGGAUGUUGGCUUAGAAGCAGCCAUCAUUUAAAGAAAGCGUAAUAGCUCACUGGUCGAGUCGGCCUGCGCGGAAGAUGUAACGGGGCUAAACCAUGCACCGAAGCUGCGGCAGCGACGCUUAUGCGUUGUUGGGUAGGGGAGCGUUCUGUAAGCCUGCGAAGGUGUGCUGUGAGGCAUGCUGGAGGUAUCAGAAGUGCGAAUGCUGACAUAAGUAACGAUAAAGCGGGUGAAAAGCCCGCUCGCCGGAAGACCAAGGGUUCCUGUCCAACGUUAAUCGGGGCAGGGUGAGUCGACCCCUAAGGCGAGGCCGAAAGGCGUAGUCGAUGGGAAACAGGUUAAUAUUCCUGUACUUGGUGUUACUGCGAAGGGGGGACGGAGAAGGCUAUGUUGGCCGGGCGACGGUUGUCCCGGUUUAAGCGUGUAGGCUGGUUUUCCAGGCAAAUCCGGAAAAUCAAGGCUGAGGCGUGAUGACGAGGCACUACGGUGCUGAAGCAACAAAUGCCCUGCUUCCAGGAAAAGCCUCUAAGCAUCAGGUAACAUCAAAUCGUACCCCAAACCGACACAGGUGGUCAGGUAGAGAAUACCAAGGCGCUUGAGAGAACUCGGGUGAAGGAACUAGGCAAAAUGGUGCCGUAACUUCGGGAGAAGGCACGCUGAUAUGUAGGUGAAGUCCCUCGCGGAUGGAGCUGAAAUCAGUCGAAGAUACCAGCUGGCUGCAACUGUUUAUUAAAAACACAGCACUGUGCAAACACGAAAGUGGACGUAUACGGUGUGACGCCUGCCCGGUGCCGGAAGGUUAAUUGAUGGGGUUAGCGCAAGCGAAGCUCUUGAUCGAAGCCCCGGUAAACGGCGGCCGUAACUAUAACGGUCCUAAGGUAGCGAAAUUCCUUGUCGGGUAAGUUCCGACCUGCACGAAUGGCGUAAUGAUGGCCAGGCUGUCUCCACCCGAGACUCAGUGAAAUUGAACUCGCUGUGAAGAUGCAGUGUACCCGCGGCAAGACGGAAAGACCCCGUGAACCUUUACUAUAGCUUGACACUGAACAUUGAGCCUUGAUGUGUAGGAUAGGUGGGAGGCUUUGAAGUGUGGACGCCAGUCUGCAUGGAGCCGACCUUGAAAUACCACCCUUUAAUGUUUGAUGUUCUAACGUUGACCCGUAAUCCGGGUUGCGGACAGUGUCUGGUGGGUAGUUUGACUGGGGCGGUCUCCUCCUAAAGAGUAACGGAGGAGCACGAAGGUUGGCUAAUCCUGGUCGGACAUCAGGAGGUUAGUGCAAUGGCAUAAGCCAGCUUGACUGCGAGCGUGACGGCGCGAGCAGGUGCGAAAGCAGGUCAUAGUGAUCCGGUGGUUCUGAAUGGAAGGGCCAUCGCUCAACGGAUAAAAGGUACUCCGGGGAUAACAGGCUGAUACCGCCCAAGAGUUCAUAUCGACGGCGGUGUUUGGCACCUCGAUGUCGGCUCAUCACAUCCUGGGGCUGAAGUAGGUCCCAAGGGUAUGGCUGUUCGCCAUUUAAAGUGGUACGCGAGCUGGGUUUAGAACGUCGUGAGACAGUUCGGUCCCUAUCUGCCGUGGGCGCUGGAGAACUGAGGGGGGCUGCUCCUAGUACGAGAGGACCGGAGUGGACGCAUCACUGGUGUUCGGGUUGUCAUGCCAAUGGCACUGCCCGGUAGCUAAAUGCGGAAGAGAUAAGUGCUGAAAGCAUCUAAGCACGAAACUUGCCCCGAGAUGAGUUCUCCCUGACUCCUUGAGAGUCCUGAAGGAACGUUGAAGACGACGACGUUGAUAGGCCGGGUGUGUAAGCGCAGCGAUGCGUUGAGCUAACCGGUACUAAUGAACCGUGAGGCUUAACCUU
Molecule: ribosomal RNA, 2902 nt
Filed under: Escherichia coli
Lineage: Bacteria; Pseudomonadati; Pseudomonadota; Gammaproteobacteria; Enterobacterales; Enterobacteriaceae
Also listed under: 1 other name
Description: bacterial LSU rRNA
Rfam family: Bacterial large subunit ribosomal RNA
Source: RNAcentral